AGAUUUACCAGACGAUGAUUCACUAUCUGUGCAAAGCAGGAAACUUUGAUCUGGCUUAUACCAUGUGUAAGGAUUGUAUGAGAAAGAAGUGGUACCCGAACUUGGAUACAGUUGAUAUGCUGCUCAAAGGGCUUGUGAAAAAGGGCCAGCUUGAUCAGGCUAAGUCGAUCAUGGCGUUAGUUCAAAAACGAGUGCCUCCUUUCAGCUCAAAACAGUUGGUCUCCCUUAAGUCCAUUUUGUAAUAUUUUACAUUGAAAAUGGAACAAAAUUUGCUACAUCUACACGACAAGGCGGCCACAGGAUUCUUUCUUUAUUUCUUUCUCCUGAGUUUGUUUUGUAUAGCUUUGGGGCGGGGGAACUGGAAAUUGGAUGUAGCCCCAUAUCAGGAGGUACAUUUAUCUUCUUAUCGGAUUCAACUAUUAGUUGCUCCGUGAUAAUAAAAGGCCAGGGUGAUUUGGAAACUCCAAUGGAUACCCACUCGAGAGCAAAAUGGCAUACGCAAAGUAGUUGUGACCGUGUGCAGAAGAAACUGAUAGGAUCUUUGUCUGAUGAUGCAAACGCUUCGCUAAAGCAACGAGCCCUGGGUAAAUUAGUUAUGUUCUUAGCUUCGUCCAGCCAAAGUAAAAGGCGUUAAACCUAAAACAUAGGCGUUGAUAGCUUUUCCUGCUAUAUAGCACACGAAUGUAAACAACAGAAAAAGAGAACAGAGACAACCCAGCAAUGCAUAAUUUUUUAUUGUUUA
Non-coding RNA from Camelina sativa (false flax), 742 nucleotides. The record is from RefSeq and is a predicted model, not a curated record. Lineage: Eukaryota; Viridiplantae; Streptophyta; Magnoliopsida; Brassicales; Brassicaceae.